ACUACGGGUAGCAGCAGUGAGGAAUAUUGGUCAAUGGACGAGAGUCUGAACCAGCCAAGUAGCGUGAAGGAUGACUGCCCUAUGGGUUGUAAACUUCUUUUAUAUGGGAAUAAAAUGUUCCACGUGUGGGAUUUUGUAUGUACCAUAUGAAUAAGGAUUGGCUAACUCCGUGCCAGCCGCCGCGGUAAUACGGAGGAUCCGAGAGUUAUCCGGAUUUAUUGGGUUUAAUGGGGGCGUAGUUGGUUUUUUAAGUCAGUUGUGCAAGUUUGCGGCUCAAACGUAAAAUUGCAGUUGAAACUGGCAGUCUUGAGUACAGUAGAGGUGGGGGGAAUUCGUGGUGUAGCGGUGAAAUGCUUAGAUAUCACGAAGAACUCCGAUUGCGAAGGCAGCUCACUGGACUGCAACUGACACUGAGGCUCGAAAGUGUGGGUAUCAAACAGGAUUAGAUACCCGAGUAGUC
This 460-nucleotide ribosomal RNA is filed under the name uncultured bacterium. RNAcentral's name for it is "partial 16S ribosomal RNA". It matches the Rfam family "Bacterial small subunit ribosomal RNA", at positions 338 to 795 of the family's 1533-position model. The record is from RNAcentral.